Molecule: non-coding RNA, 791 nt
Organism: Penaeus vannamei (Pacific white shrimp)
Lineage: Eukaryota; Metazoa; Arthropoda; Malacostraca; Decapoda; Penaeidae
Source: RefSeq, a predicted model, not a curated record
AUGAAGGGAUAAUUGUUAUUAUGAGUCGGAUGUCCUGUUUAUCUAGUGAAGGAAGUCGAAAUAUGUGAUAUGGCCUAGACGUUGCCGCGUUUUCCCGCCAAAUUUACCUUAGCAACAAGUAGCCCCGCCCCUUGCAGCAUCUAUAAUUAAUGAAAGAGUAUGAUUAUACCAGAAGGUUGAGUUUGAGACAAUCACUGAUAUGAAGAUAUACAUUGACAAUAAGAAUGAAAUUUAAAUAUGCAUUGACUAAUUCUGGAUAAUAGCUCAUUUGCACAAGUGUUUCCAUCCUUGAAGUUGAUUGGCUCACGCACGAGCAGCGCUUUGUUCUGAUUGGUCCACGUGUACUCUGCAUUAUGAUUGGCUGCGAAAGCCUGUGUUAGGCGCCAUUACCACUUGGAGGAGGUUUUUUUUGUUGACGGACACGCUCAUAGAAAUUGCAUUUGUGCAGUGACAUUCUUAUUAACGCCAGUAUUUCUGGGAAGAGCUGGCAGUUAAAGUGUUAAAGAACUGUUUGAGUCAUAGUGAUAACCCCAAAGACUUCAGUGUAGUCUGGGAAAGAGCACUGGAGUUGGGCUUGUCACCUUGCAGAGUGAUUUCUACCUUCACAUGGUCUUCGCAUUGAUGCAAGGGUGCAGGCUGGCUACCUGUCAUGAGAUGGUGUACCUGUCGUGACGUGACGUGCCUGUGGUGAUGAGGUGGUGAUGUGAAGCGUCAGUGCUACCUGCUUUGGGAUACGAUCUCGAAUGUCUUCAGGAAAGGAUUAAACCGUGUGCAAGAAUCCAAGAGAUUAU